Molecule: ribosomal RNA, 451 nt
Filed under: uncultured bacterium
Lineage: Bacteria
Description: partial 16S ribosomal RNA
Rfam family: Bacterial small subunit ribosomal RNA
Source: RNAcentral
AACGAACGCUGGCGGCAUGCCUAACACAUGCAAGCCGAACGCCUGUAGCAAUACAGGAGUGGCAGACGGGUGCAUAACACGUGGGAACCUACCCUAGGGUUCGGAAUAACCGCGGGAAACUGCGGCUAAUACCGGAUACGUCCUUCGGGAGAAAGAUUCAUCGCCCUUGGAGGGGCCCGCGUCGGAUUAGCUAGUUGGUGAGGUAACGGCUCACCAAGGCGACGAUCCGUAGCUGAUCUGAGAGGAUGAUCAGCCACACUGGAACUGAGACACGGUCCAGACUCCUACGGGAGGCAGCAGUGGGGAAUAUUGGACAAUGGGGGCAACCCUGAUCCAGCAAUGCCGCGUGGGUGAUGAAGGCCUUCGGGUUGUAAAGCCCUUUUGGCAGGGACGAUGAUGACGGUACCUGCAGAAUAAGCCCCGGCUAACUUCGUGCCAGCCGCCGCGGUAA